GAGAACUUUCCAGAGAUGGAUUGGUGCCUUCGGGAACUCUGAGACAGGUGCUGCAUGGCUGUCGUCAGCUCGUGUUGUGAAAUGUUGGGUUAAGUCCCGCAACGAGCGCAACCCUUAUCCUUUGUUGCCAGCGGUUAGGCCGGGAACUCAAAGGAGACUGCCAGUGAUAAACUGGAGGAAGGUGGGGAUGACGUCAAGUCAUCAUGGCCCUUACGAGUAGGGCUACACACGUGCUACAAUGGCGCAUACAAAGAGAAGCGACCUCGCGAGAGCAAGCGGACCUCAUAAAGUGCGUCGUAGUCCGGAUUGGAGUCUGCAACUCGACUCCAUGAAGUCGGAAUCGCUAGUAAUCGUGGAUCAGAAUGCCACGGUGAAUACGUUCCCGGGCCUUGUACACACCGCCCGUCACACCAUGGGAGUGGGUUGCAAAAGAAGUAGGUAGCUUAACCUUCGGGAGGGCGCUUACCACUUUGUGAUUCAUGACUGGGGUGAAGUCGUAACAAGGUAGGCGUAGUGCU
This 518-nucleotide ribosomal RNA is filed under the name uncultured bacterium. Its description in RNAcentral is "bacterial SSU rRNA". It matches the Rfam family "Bacterial small subunit ribosomal RNA", at positions 991 to 1509 of the family's 1533-position model. The record is from RNAcentral.